UACGGAAGGCAGCAGUGGGGAAUAUUGCACAAUGGGCGCAAGCCUGAUGCAGCCAUGCCGCGUGUAUGAAAAAGGCCUUCGGGUUGUAAAGUACUUUCAGUCGUGAGGAAGGUGUUAAGGUUAAUAACCUUAGCAAUUGACGUUAGCGACAGAAGAAGCACCGGCUAACUCCGUGCCAGCAGCCGCGGUAAUACGGAGGGUGCGAGCGUUAAUCGGAAUUACUGGGCGUAAAGGGCACGCAGGCGGUUAAUUAAGUUGGAUGUGAAAUCCCCGGGCUUAACCUGGGAAUGGCAUUCAAGACUGGUUAGCUAGAGUCUUGUAGAGGGGGUGAAUUCCAUGUGUAGCGGUGAAAUGCGUAGAGAUGUGGAGGAAUACCGGUGGCGAAGGCGGCCCCUGGACAAAGACUGACGCUCAUGUGCGAAAGCGUGGGGAGCAAACAGGGAUUAGGAUACC
RNAcentral lists this ribosomal RNA (453 nucleotides) under uncultured bacterium. RNAcentral describes it as "bacterial SSU rRNA". It matches the Rfam family "Bacterial small subunit ribosomal RNA", at positions 340 to 786 of the family's 1533-position model. The record is from RNAcentral.